UUGGCAGAAGCCAAAUAGCGGCCUAUCACUGUUAAUGAUAAAAUUGAAUAUUUCCUGUCAAA
This 62-nucleotide transfer RNA is filed under the name Engaeus sericatus. RNAcentral describes it as "tRNA-Asn". RNAcentral also lists the same sequence under 1 other name. Lineage: Eukaryota; Metazoa; Arthropoda; Malacostraca; Decapoda; Parastacidae. The record is from RNAcentral.